This 368-nucleotide ribosomal RNA is filed under the name uncultured organism. RNAcentral's name for it is "bacterial SSU rRNA". It matches the Rfam family "Bacterial small subunit ribosomal RNA", at positions 526 to 896 of the family's 1533-position model. The record is from RNAcentral.
CGGAGGGUGCAAGCGUUAUCCGGAUUUAUUGGGUUUAAAGGGUCCGUAGGCGGAUCCGUAAGUCAGUGGUGAAAUCUCACAGCUUAGCUGUGAAACUGCCAUUGAUACUGCGGGUCUUGAGUAAGGUAGAAGUGGCUGGAAUAAGUAGUGUAGCGGUGAAAUGCAUAGAUAUUACUUAGAACACCAAUUGCGAAGGCAGGUCACUAUGUCUUAACUGACGCUGAUGGACGAAAGCGUGGGGAGCGAACAGGAUUAGAUACCCUGGUAGUCCACGCCGUAAACGAUGCUAACUCGUUUUUGGGCUUUCGGGUUCAGAGACUAAGCGAAAGUGAUAAGUUAGCCACCUGGGGAGUACGUUCGCAAGAAUG